RNAcentral lists this ribosomal RNA (481 nucleotides) under uncultured bacterium. Its description in RNAcentral is "partial 16S ribosomal RNA". It matches the Rfam family "Bacterial small subunit ribosomal RNA", at positions 28 to 523 of the family's 1533-position model. The record is from RNAcentral.
GACGAACGCUGGCGGCGUGCUUAACACAUGCAAGUCGAGCGAUGAAGUUUCUUUGGAAAUGGAUUAGCGGCGAACGGGUGAGGAACACGUGAAGAAUCUGCCCUCCACUUUGGGAUAACACAGGGAAACCUGUGCUAAUACCGAAUAUUGAAACAUAAGUGGCAUCACUGAGUUUUGAAAGAAUUUCGGUGGAGGAUGACUUCGCGGCCUAUCAGCUAGUUGGUGAGGUGAUGGCUCACCAAGGCAACGACGGGUAGCCGGCCUGAGAGGGCGACCGGCCACACUGGGACUGAGACACGGCCCAGACUCCUACGGGAGGCAGCAGUGGGGAAUAUUGGGCAAUGGAGGAAACUCUGACCCAGCGACGCCGCGUGUGGGAUGAAGGCCUUCGGGUUGUAAACCGCUUUCAGUAGGGAAGAAGCGAAAGUGACGGUACCUACAAAAGAAGCACCGGCUAACUAUGUGCCAGCAGCCGCAGUAA